Molecule: long non-coding RNA, 4506 nt
Organism: Equus caballus (horse)
Lineage: Eukaryota; Metazoa; Chordata; Mammalia; Perissodactyla; Equidae
Source: Ensembl
AAAAAAGGGUUAUCAUCCAACCAUACAUGUUUACAUAAAGUCAUAGCAAAAAUGACAUAUUUUUGGUGGGGUGAUUUUUCAUGGUGCCAUAAAAUAUUUGCCAACGUCUAAAUAGCACUGUUCCCCCAUGUUCCAUGCCCUCUCCCUGUCACACAUAGGCCAGAACACACACACACCUACACACAUGCAUCCACACUCACACACCCAAACCCUUUAAACCAAAUUUAAUACUCACUGGCAUUAAAACUACUUAGCAGCUCUACCGGACAAUGGCCACAGGGACAGUCACAGGAUGUCUUGAGCCCGGCGCAGGCAUGACGGCUGGACGGUUCCGGGCAGGGAGCCCCUGUCCCGGCCGUGCGGCGGGCGCGUGGCCAGCCCAAGCGCGCAGAGUCAGCAGAGUCGCUGCCUAGCGAGCGCGGAGACCGACAGGUGCUCUUAUCUCCCGCGGCGGCGGCACGUGAGGUCGGCUCCUUGCAGAGCAGGGUCUCAAUGGGAGGCCUUUAGCUUCGUGGCCUUUCCUUCUGACCACCCAGCAGGAAAAUAUACAGAAGGGUUUUUUUCUGCGAGUUUGUCAUUGUUAAAAAACCCACAACAGCAUUGAAACUGUGUAUUUCGCUCAGGUGGGCUUCUGGCCUGUGAAUGUUUAAUGCAAUCAUAGUAAACCAUUAAUUUUCUUUGGUGUUAAACUUUUUGCCUUUUCACCUUAUAAAACCAUUCAGGCUAAAUAACCUUAUUACAAUGGAAUUAAGCAUUGUAGCCUGGUUCCCAAAACCGACAUUGGUGGCAAAACCCGCUGAAUUGGAACACACACCAGGCAGUACAAACUUGUGCUAGAUUUUGACUUUAAAAUCAACUUAAUGUAAACUGUACUUUGUGCUGAUUUUUACCUUAUUAUCACAUCUACUUUCUCUUAUGGCGUUUAAAAUAGGCCCUGACUGCAAAAGAACAAAUGUGAAAGAACAUUUUGAUUACAAUUUAGGUGACAUUUACUCUGAUUGGGGGUGUAAUUUACGGCAAUUAUGCAAGUACCUUUUAUGUCCCACUUCCAGUUCAUCCUGUUUUGCUCUGAUUUCAGCAACCUCUCUUGAUUAGGAUUCUGAACAAAAUAAGUAUAGAAAGGAGGAGUCCAGGAUGACUUUCAAAAGUGACAAAUCAUCAUUGAACACAGUUUUUAAAUUGCUAAUUGAAAACAUUUCCCUCUUUUCAGCCGCCAGAGAGGCCUGAUUAUUUAAGCGACAAAUUCUGCCUUAACCACCCCCCUUGCCCGAACCACAUAACACUCCUCCUUCCCCUCCUUCCCCCAAAAGGCAACAUUUUGGCCUGGCAACCAGUACGACUCGCUGAGCCCUUCCAUUUAAAUGCCCCACAAAGAUUGUGUCUGAUCACUGCCUGGGUUUAAGAAAGAAAGAAAGAAAAUCAGGAAUCAGACACAGGCGAUGUCCCAGUCCUCUCUCCCCUGCCCCCUCCAUUCUUCCAUUCUCUCCCCCACCAUCCGCACAUGAAAUAAAAGAGAGCUGAGCCAAACUGGUUACAGAAAAGGCACCCCGAGAUCUGGGGAAUAAGUUUGCCCUUACUUAGCUCACGCUGCAGCUGUGCUCUUAUCUGGCCAAAAGAGACAGGGGACAACAAAAGACCCCAAAGAACGGACGGUGGAUGCAUGGGAAAACCACUGCCUCGGCAUUGUGGUGCCCUUCUGCUGAGCAAAUAGUUCAAACUGUUCAUUCCCAUCUUCUAUUCUCUCCCUGGUACAUUGUUUGUGCCCUUGCAUUUCAUUCUGCAAGGAAGGUUGCCUUCUGGGCCUAUAAGCAAACAGUCCAGAAAAGAGCUAGCCAUCCUCUUCCCUUCCCCGGAGAACUAGCAUUUUUAUUUCGGCUCCAAGCUGUCAAAGACCUGGAGAGUUUAUGUCAGUGUCCUGAAUUAAUUGCUUUAAGCUGGAGCAAGCGCACAGGCUACCAAAUGUCCAGAAGAUGUUUAUUAAUAACGUUUCCUCCAGGAUUCUGGCUCGGAGCUGUCCCUUGAUGGUGGCCUUUAUCCGGCUGCUACCCCGUCACCCCUGGCCUCUUGGUGUUCAGGGGGGGUCACUUCUUUCAUUCAUCGUGAAAAAAUUUAGAAUUGCCCGGGGUGAAAAAAAUAUCCACCUCUGUAAGAGGCGGUGUGUGAUGGACAUCUUUGUUCUGGCCCAGGGAAGUCCCAGAGUUAGAGAAACCACGUGGUGACACUGAAGCGCGCUGGGGGAGAGAAAGCCGCAGGGACCCUCCUCUGUGGAAGCGCAUUUAGCCGAUACAAUUAGCAAAGGGACAGAGGGAAUCUGCCCAGUCCGCUCCCCCUCCCACCGCCUCUCCCAAAAGAAAAUUCAGUAAGGCUGACAGCAUGUUGUAUUUGGAAGUUUUCCUGGUACCAAAAAAAAAAAAAAAAAAAAAAGCCUCUUUAAUAGAAUGAAAUAAUAAACCAAUUUAUAUACCAAUAUAAGACCAGGAUCGUGAGUGCCAUUGUGUAAUUUUCCACUUGACUUUUCAUUAUCUACCUGAACAAAAUCAAUCUAUAUGUAUGGGAUCAACAUACAAUUCCGGAGAUAAAAGCUGAAAAUAAAUGUGCUUUGCAUAUCCUGGAGAUAAAAGACACAGUCCUCGUACUGCCUUUUCUUCUCUGGCAGAUGCAUUUAUAAAAGUGUGUCAAGGAAAAAAACAAGACAUAGUGGUGGCUCUUGAGCGUUGACUCCUUUGCUGGAAAUAUUGAUCCCACAAACGAGCAGUGGUUAAUAAGCGCCCUGCAGACCAGAGAGGUCUUUUGCCCUGGUUUAUCUAGAGUGCAGGCUGGGUCAAGGCUUCUCCCAGCCAAACCUCCCCACCCUGCAAGAAAAGCCUCCCCCUGUUAACAUGGAUUUAAGGCUGAGGACUUCAAGGGCCUUCUGAAGCCUCUCCACGGACACAAAGCACACUGAAAAAUCACAUUUUGUUAGAAACCCCGUGCAGCAAAUGGCCAGCUUGUGAAGGACACUCAGUCUCAAAAAGGGAGGGAGAGGUGCCCUGCGCCCCUUGGGGUUGACAUUUCUUACUUUAAACGAGUUGAGUUCCAUCCCUUUUAGCCUCUUCCUCACCCCAAGAAUGAGGAAUGGUACUCAGAACAGUACUGCUCUCUGCAUGCUGGCCAUGCUGGUCCUGGGGACUCCCUUCCUUUUGGAAUGUCAGUCAGCACUGCAUAUGUGUGCCAAUGUGGGCAGAUGGCAGAGGCAUUGGUGGGUGUGCCUUGGGCUGUUCGUGUCCUGUUAUGUUCAGGGCUCCUUGGGGGAAAAGUGAGCCUGCUCUGCCCAUUCGGGGGCUCACAGCCGUUUAAACGUCGGCCACUACUCUCCUUUCCAUGAGGCAGGGGCUCAUCUCCCAUGUUUUAUCAGCCAGCAAAGAAAGCCCUACAAAGGGUGGGUACUGGAUCAUCUUUUGCCCCAAACAAUCACUCUGAAUUAGUGGACUUUUCCUCAUCAUUGAAAAGUAAUGAUGUCUUAGGCCAGUUGCUUACUCUUAGUUGAGAGAUUCAUAAGAAUUCACCAUUCACCAUUAUUCAUUCAUGGUAAGCUUUGGUAACUUCAGGGGAGGUUAAAUGUCCACUUGGGCAAUGUAACUGUUACAACCUCAAUUUGUCCAGCAGGACAAGUCAACACUUUUAUAUUUAAAUGUCUUUGUGUUGACAAAUUCUAAUAGUUGGUGGCCUGGUGGUUUGGUACAAGUCUGCGCAUCUCAACUUUUAUGCGCCCUCUUUCCUUAUCCUGAGAACUCCAUGUUCUCGCCCAGCACACAUCUGGACGUGGCCCGUCGCCUCUCUGCUAACGGGCUGCUUUUGUGUCUCAUUCCUCAGUUGAUAUUCAUAGGAAACUCUGAGGAAAGCAUCCAGGAGCAAUCUGGCAGCAGGGGUAUGCCCUUUUGGGACACUCGUGAUGGUCAAGGGUCAGCGUGGAGAGAAGCUCAUGCACUUUCAGUCAGAUGGGGCCUUAGGAAAACAAAUGUCCUGCUUCCAUCUCAUCUUUUUGUUCCAGCAGCUGUGAAUAAGCAAAUUUAGAGAAAACAUAAGAAUGGAGUCAAGAAGAGUUAGGCAGUCAUUAGAAUUUUGUUGGAAAAUUGAACUAUAUCCUGAUGGCAUGUUUUGAAAAUUCCCUGUAUUCCUCAUGACAAAAUUGACACCUCCUAUGCUUAGAGCAUCAGCCUCAGUGAACUCAAGGUAUGUUUUAUCCAUGGUUUAAUUACUCCAUGAUUUAAACACUUAAUUAGCAUCCUAGAGAACCAGUACGAUAACACAUCAGCUUCAUCCAUCACACAGAAAAUCCUUUAGGAGUUCUGUACCCCCUGCACUCCAUGAGGGAAGAGAACACGCCAGAAAAGGGUGUUUCUACUUCCACAGACACAUUUGCUCAUGCUGGGAAAUGUCAUUGUUGAGAGACAUUAGAACUAUCUUCUUAGUCAGGGACACCAUUCCAUGCAUAAGCAGAAUGCUGACACAGAGUCAGACUGCAAC